UGGGGAAUAUUGCACAAUGGGCGCAAGCCUGAUGCAGCCAUGCCGCGUGUAUGAAGAAGGCCUUCGGGUUGUAAAGUACUUUCAGUCGGGAGGAAGGUGUCAAGGUUAAUAACCUUGGCAAUUGACGUUACCGACAGAAGAAGCACCGGCUAACUCCGAGCCAGCAGCCGCGGUAAUACGGAGGGUGCAAGCGUUAAUCGGAAUUACUGGGCGUAAAGCGCACGCAGGCGGUUGAUUGAGUCAGAUGUGAAAUCCCCGGGCUUAACCCGGGAAGUGCAUCUGAUACUGGUCAGCUAGAGUCUUGUCGAGGGAGGUAGAAUUCCGUGUGUAGCGGUGAAAUGCGUAGAGAUGUGGAGGAAUACCGGUGGCGAAGGCGGCCCCCUGGACAAAGACUGACGCUCAGGUGCGAAAGCGUGGGGAGCAAACAGG
RNAcentral lists this ribosomal RNA (429 nucleotides) under Chloroflexota bacterium. RNAcentral's name for it is "Chloroflexi bacterium partial 16S ribosomal RNA". It matches the Rfam family "Bacterial small subunit ribosomal RNA", at positions 355 to 776 of the family's 1533-position model. The record is from RNAcentral. Lineage: Bacteria; Bacillati; Chloroflexota.